GUGAACUUUACACUCUAUAUUCUUAUGUCUUCUGUUAUUUAAAUCAGAUUCAUUAUACCAAUGAAAUAUAGGCCUAAUACUUGACAAAACAUAACUUAGUAUGUUGCUUCAGUAUUAACAGUCCAGCAGCUUUACCAGCCACAGAAAACAUUGAGCAAUUAAAUACUCCACGUCACAUCUUUAUAUUUGUUCUAGUUGAGUUGUCAAACAGUUUUAGUUUAUUGAAGCUCUACAACAGUCGGCUAAUUGCACUGUUCAGCACUAAAUGCUAAUUUUUAUUAGCUCUAGGCUCAUUCACUUGAGCUAGCCAGCUUAACCUAGCAUCGUGUGGCGCAGCAUUUAAUUGUUUACUUUUACUACGACUCACCAAUUCGGGAGUUCCUCUGUGUCACUCGGAAGGUUUCAGUGAGCAGUCUCUCACACACACACCUCUACGAGCUUACAACAAAGUACAGGCUGUUACUGUUCUGUUUUAACAACAUUAUAAGGUGUUUUUACUGUUUUAUCUGAGUUAUAUUUUUACCGUUCAGUUGCAGGUCCUCUCAACAGUGUCACCCAGCGUCUGACUAGCAUACGCUGUGUAGCUUGCCUACGGUGCUGUGGACCUGCACUCUGAUUGGCUGAGGCACUUCUGCGUUGUUAACCCUUUGUGACCCGGGUUACAAGUAGCUACAUCCAAUCAUGAUGGAGAGAAAACACUUUUCUCAGGGGACUGGGUUGGUGACAAGCGGACGAGGAAGAAACCCAGUUGCUAUACCCGGACCAGAGGGAGGGGAGGCUGAAUGUCACCUUCAAAUCUAGCCGACGGAUUGAUUCAGGGCCUUCAGGGAGCAGCGGGAAAUACCUUGGCCUGACAGGAGACACUAAACUAAACAACCAGCGUUCCCCUGAGAGGGUGUUAAAGUGCAGCACACUAUGAAUUAUGGACCCCGGGCAAUUUCUUUUUACAUCAUACUUUGUUUUAUGUGGUAGAAAAUGUGUUUAUGUUAGAAAUUUACAUUUCAAUAAACAACGCACUUAACCUUA
Long non-coding RNA from Thunnus maccoyii (southern bluefin tuna), 1026 nucleotides. RefSeq lists it as uncharacterized. The record is from RefSeq and is a predicted model, not a curated record. The transcript is spliced from 2 exons. Lineage: Eukaryota; Metazoa; Chordata; Actinopteri; Scombriformes; Scombridae.